CUUAUACACUCUUCUUUAAAUUAUUAUUACCUAAUCACCACCUUUAUUAGCAAGCAAAUCUAGAAACUCCUCACUUCAGCUUCUUAGCUUGUUCUUAGAAAGUAGAAAUAUCAAAAAAAGUAGCUCUCUUUUUUCGAUCUUCCUCUUUCUCUGUCCAAGGUUUGACUCUGUGUUGCAGUAAUUGUGUACAUAUGCAGGUUCAGUUUGUUUGAUUUAAAUUAGAUUGACAUGGCAGUUAAAUUUACUAUCAAGUCAAUCACUCCAAAAACUAAGGAUUGGAUAUGCAAAAUUCAAGUAGUAGAUAAAUAUCCUCCCAGAGACAAGAAAGACAAAAGUGGAAAAUACCAAUUGAUGGUUUUGCAACAUGAAGAGGAAAAUCAAAUUCAAGCCAUCAUUUGGAAUGUUGAUAUAAUGCAAUUUGACAAGUAUUUCAAACCAUUCCAAACAUACCUGGUGUCAGUUGCACAAGUGAAAGAACCAAAUCCCGCAUAUGCUAAUCCAUUCAACAAAUACACUUGGACAAUUGACAAAAAUACUAUCGUCGAACCAAUUGAGAAAGUCAUUCCUCCAGAGGAUCCACCACCACCAACACGACUGGCUGUCACCCCCUUUGAAGCUAUUGAGUAUCAAUUGAAAGAUUUUGAAUUUAAUGUCCUUGGACUACUUAUUAAUACUGGCCUUCCAAGUAAUGCAUUAAAUGGGAAGAAAAUCCAAGAAUUCAUCAUUAUGGAUACUCAGAAAAAGCCUAAGAAGCUAACACUUUGGGAGGACUCCGUCGAAUAUUAUGGAAAUGAACUUUAAGAGAAGGUUAAAGACUAUCCUGUCUUCUUGGCUAGAAGAGUGGUAAAAUCAUCAUCAGGAAUAUGGAGUAGAUACAACACAACAAUACUCCUACAUCCUACAUACCCAGGAGCCACCACAUUAGCUACAUGGUCCAAAACAAUUCAACAACAACUCAUUGAAUACACAGCUAAAAGCAUAUCCCCAGACGACACUUUUCUUUUUGUACCCUUUGAAGAAGAAUCAAUAUUCAUAUUUGAUAUCCAAAUGCAGCCGCAGGAACAAGAACAAAGAGGACAAAUAUUCUACAUCGAUGCUGAACUUUCAUUGAUAAAUGAAGACCAACAUUUAGCUCCAUGGCAUGCUUAGAUUGUAAGGCCCCAUUUUCAAGAACUACUUCAUCAAGGCCAAUCUACUGCAUGCACUGCGAACGAUCCACCAAACUUAUUCCCAGCUAUGGUCACCGAUCAUACUGGUAGCACAACAGCGUCCAUCUCAGAUCAAUCAACAACAAAGAUGUUGGACCUCACAGUACAAGAGAUUUAUGACAUCUACAGUGCAAAGAGAAAAGCGCUACUUCUUGACAAUGCACGUAGACAAUUAGCAAUAAAGACUUUCAAAAUUCAAAUGAAAAGAUUAUUUUCCAAAAAUCAGGAUAAACUAGCUGUUCUGAAUUAUGAGGAAAAAGAGCCUACCAACCAACCAUUACCAACUACACCAAUGAUGGGCGCUGCUGAACCAAGAAAGGGCAAGGCUAUGGAGAUUGGCUCAGAACCAAGGAUCCAGCAAACCCUGCCCACCAAAGACAGACCUUCCAGCACCAGACAAAAAACAUAAAUCAAGGCUCCUAUCAAGAAGGAGUAAAGGCUACUCAAAAUGAAUAUACGUUUAGUUGCUAUGUUUAAUCAUUUGAUGAACAUCUACAUUGCUAAACAAUGCUCAUUUUGUUAUCAAGUCACUUUUGGUGUUUGAUUUUGGCAACAAGUUUUUAAAGCACAAACAACUAUCUUUUUGCUAUAGCACUGUCAAGCUACUAUCUUUUUGCCACAACACUGUCUUUUUGAAAAGCUGGAUUACAAGCAUAUGUGACGCCUCAUGCUUUGAAAAGGUACUUUGUGAACGAUGGCGUCACACAGCUGCAACAUGCAUGACUGCUAUUAACAAAAUACCCAACUACUUUACUUUUUAACUGUUUACCAUAACCAGCUAUAUAUAUAUAUAUAUAUAUAUAUAUAU
Lycium barbarum (goji berry) is the source of this 2016-nucleotide long non-coding RNA. RefSeq lists it as uncharacterized. The record is from RefSeq and is a predicted model, not a curated record. The transcript is spliced from 13 exons. Lineage: Eukaryota; Viridiplantae; Streptophyta; Magnoliopsida; Solanales; Solanaceae.